This 320-nucleotide ribosomal RNA is filed under the name uncultured bacterium. RNAcentral describes it as "bacterial SSU rRNA". It matches the Rfam family "Bacterial small subunit ribosomal RNA", at positions 28 to 349 of the family's 1533-position model. The record is from RNAcentral.
GACGAACGCUGGCGGCGUGCUUAACACAUGCAAGUCGAGCGGUAAGGCCCUUUCGGGGGUACACGAGCGGCGAACGGGUGAGUAACACGUGGGUGACCUGCCCUCAGCUCUGGGAUAAGCCUGGGAAACUGGGUCUAAUACCGGAUAUGACUCCAUGACGCAUGUUGUGGGGUGGAAAGCCUUGUGCGGCUGAGGAUGGGCCCGCGGCCUAUCAGCUUGUUGGUGGGGUGANGGCCUACCAAGGCGACGACGGGUAGCCGGCCUGAGAGGGCGACCGGCCACACUGGGACUGAGACACGGCCCAGACUCCUACGGGAGGC